RNAcentral lists this long non-coding RNA (777 nucleotides) under Pan troglodytes (chimpanzee). RNAcentral's name for it is "long non-coding RNA NONPTRT005547". The record is from RNAcentral. Lineage: Eukaryota; Metazoa; Chordata; Mammalia; Primates; Hominidae.
GCGGUGGUGACGGCGGUGCCGGAGGUUGUCCUUGGCAGGUUUUCCUCGGCGCUUUUCCAUGGAGGAGGCGGUGCGAACGGCUUCAGCCCCGAAUGCUCGCAUCUCCCACUGGACGGCGACGAAGGCGGUGGCCGUGCGAGCGCAGGACUGGGCGGCCUGUGUGGGGGUGUGAGCCGCGGUGCCCCAGGCUGCGCCGGCGAGGGGAAGCCGCGCGGCCGGCCGGCCGACUAGGGCUGGAGCUACUCGGCCAGGGUUUAAGACUUUAAAUGAGAAUAAAGGGUGGUAUUUACGAGGAAAUGAGAGUGAAUAAGUCAUCUCUAACCUCUCCCAGCCUUUUUUUCAUAAGAGAGACCAUAUUAAACUUACAUGCUCUCCCGGCUGUGAUAGACCUUCAGUUACAGAGAGAGGGAGCAGAGUGGGACCAGGUCUGAGAAUAGUGAAGCAACUCAUUCCUUUCAGGACAUUCCCUCUGAUGUCCUAUUUUCAAACUGUUUGAAGACUGCUUCAUUCUGCCUCUAGUACCAGCGGUUUCUCUGUUCUGUGAUCAAUGUGAUUCACAGGAACUCCUUAAGUAACAAACGAAAUGAGCCAGGGGCGUGGAAAAUAUGACUUCUAUAUUGGUCUGGGAUUGGCUAUGAGCUCCAGCAUUUUCAUUGGAGGAAGUUUCAUUUUGAAAAAAAAAGGCCUCCUUCGACUUGCCAGGAAAGGCUCUAUGAGAGCAGGUCAAGGUGGCCAUGCAUAUCUUAAGGAAUGGUUGUGGUGGGCUGGACUGCUGUC